CACCUUGCGUCUACAGCCCGAGCGGUAGCGACAGGCUGAUGGCUGGUGGCUUUUGCCACCGGCCU
RNAcentral lists this small RNA (65 nucleotides) under Pseudomonas panipatensis. RNAcentral's name for it is "Pseudomonas sRNA P26". It matches the Rfam family "Pseudomonas sRNA P26". Rfam says of the family: P26 is conserved across many Gammaproteobacteria species and appears to be consistently located between the DNA directed RNA polymerase (beta subunit) and 50S ribosomal protein L7/L12 genes. Lineage: Bacteria; Pseudomonadati; Pseudomonadota; Gammaproteobacteria; Pseudomonadales; Pseudomonadaceae. The record is from Rfam by way of RNAcentral.